This 492-nucleotide ribosomal RNA is filed under the name uncultured bacterium. Its description in RNAcentral is "bacterial SSU rRNA". It matches the Rfam family "Bacterial small subunit ribosomal RNA", at positions 28 to 534 of the family's 1533-position model. The record is from RNAcentral.
GACGAACGCUGGCGGCGUGCUUAACACAUGCAAGUCGAACGGUGAUCCCGCUUCGGUGGGGGAUCAGUGGCGAACGGGUGAGUAACACGUGAGCAACCUGCCCCUGACUCUGGGAUAACUCCGGGAAACCGGGGCUAAUACCGGAUAUGACGUGCCUGCGCAUGCGGGUGUGUGGAAAGAUUUUUCGGUUGGGGAUGGGCUCGCGGCCUAUCAGCUUGUUGGUGGGGUGAUGGCCUACCAAGGCGACGACGGGUAGCCGGCCUGAGAGGGCGACCGGCCACACUGGGACUGAGACACGGCCCAGACUCCUACGGGAGGCAGCAGUGGGGAAUAUUGCACAAUGGGCGCAAGCCUGAUGCAGCGACGCCGCGUGAGGGAUGAAGGCCUUCGGGUUGUAAACCUCUUUCUAGCGCCGAAGAAGCGAAAGUGACGGUAGGCGCAGAAGAAGCACCGGCUAACUACGUGCCAGCAGCCGCGGUAAGACGUAGCGUG